Molecule: long non-coding RNA, 8276 nt
Organism: Brassica rapa (field mustard)
Lineage: Eukaryota; Viridiplantae; Streptophyta; Magnoliopsida; Brassicales; Brassicaceae
Source: RefSeq, a predicted model, not a curated record
UAGAAAGCUACAUACAUACACUUGGCCGAAGCAAAUCACCUCAAGGCUGCGAGGGAAUAACUACAACACUCUUCUGCAAGUGAUAAAACUGAAGAGCUCAUGGAACGGAUGUAUUAAAGAUGGCGCUGAUGGAUCAGAGUUGAUACCCACAUUCUUGAAUGAUCUUCAUCCAGUCACUGGGUUUGAUAAGGCUAAGUUUCAGAUUGAUUUGAUUGGAAGAUACCCUUCCAUUGUUCAACAAAUCUCUUGUCAAGUAUAUGCAUGUGUUUGCCCAUUGUGGAUGGUUCUAGUCUUGAGACCAUCCUUGAGGUUCCAAGCUACCACCCUUAUGCAAACAAUGACAAUCGUGCUUUCAAAUGGGUGUAUGAAGCUUUGUUAGAUGACACAGAGUCAGUGGCUUACCAAAAUGCAAGACUUGAAGCAGAGGUGAAAGACACUAACAAGAAAGUGUGUUUGAGCAGAUGGAAACGAAGGUGAAGGUCGAAGCUCAUAUAUCUAAAGGGUUAGGAAUGAGUUGUUGGAAGCCAAAUCUUGGUCUGCAAGGCCAAGGAUUGCUCUCUUUAUUGUGGGAUGUAUGCUCAUAACUGGUUUCAUCAAACUAAUGAAGUUUGAGGCACUAAAGGCUAAUGUAUUUAGUUCUUCUUAUUUGUAAUAAGAGGGUCGCCUUCUCUCUCUCUUUUAUAGUGAAAGUUUCUUUGCUCUUUGUCAUUUGUUAUGUGUAUGUUUGGAAUCUUCAUGUUCUUGAAAAACAUCAGAAAAAGACCAUCUGGACAAGACUAAGUCACUGAAAGCAUAAGCUAUCAGUGUGAACAAGAUUAUCAACCAAACAACACAGCAAACACCACCAUCAGAGAUGGAUCUCAACUUUGAAUUCAGUAAAAGUUCAGUUCACUUGACUGACUAUGUAUUUCAAUCCAAAAAGAAUCUGUAACCAAAUCCACAACAAGAACAUGUUAAAGAGACACUUUGCUCUCCCUCCUCUAGUUUCCUAUCAUACUCUCUCAGGAAAAAAACUGUACUUUACCGUUGACUCUAUAGUAUCUCUGUAUCCCAAUCCAAAAAGAAUCUCUUAAGCAAAUCUACAACAAAUUUGUAUUAACAUGUUCAGAAACACCUUGUCUGCCGCAUCUGGUUUCCUAUCAUACUCCCAGAGAAAAAAAAAACUGUUCUGUCACCGAAGACUAUAUUGAUGCUUUGCCUCAGAAACAUUGUACCUGCAUAAGAAAAACCAAACGCACCUCAUCAAAACCAAACGCCUAAGAAAAUAUUGUUAUUGAAACCAAACGCAUAAGAAAAUAUUGUCAUUGAAACCAAACGCACCUCAUAAAAACCUAACGCACCUUAAGAAAAUACCUAAUAAAAACCAAACGCACCUCAUGGCAAGGGAACCAGACUCUCUGUAUACAGGCAACUCCUUGUAGGCCUAUCAAAUCGAUAUUGAGCUAUUUGGGUAUCUUCAAAGCCGCCCUGACCUAUCUGUCUGAUUUUGAUCUUAGCAAAACUUCUAUCAACCGUUACUUCUUCACAAAACACCUUGACCAUUUUUUCCAUGAUGAGAAAGGCUGGAUUGUGAGGUAUAAGCUGAUGUCCUCUAAAAACAAGAAACCUCUCCCAAUUCACAACAUCUCCAACCUGAGUAAUCCAAAGCUCGGUUUUGUCUGCUAUCUGACACAAAAUAGACAGCUUUUGGUGUUCAAAUGGCGACAGAGCCAGUGUUUUUCCACCAGAGAGAGCAACUGCUUUUGGGAGAGUUAUGGCUCUAAAACAUUCGGCAGUGAAGUCAAAGCUCUGGACAAAAUAUUUACCCUCUGUCGCAGCAACCCAAUAUGAGCUCGUUUCAACGGACACGACUCCAAAGUUGCCGUUGCCAUGUGUAAUCCAGUCAUCUAUUAUCUCAACAGUCUUCCAGCGAUGUGAGUCAAGAUCAUAUAACUCAGCUUCUGCUUCUGCUUCAAAAUCACCCUGAUCAUGUCUUCCAUGUGUGAAUCGCAAUACUUUGUAGGAUUUCUUGCUAUCUCUCCCUAGGCAGUAGAAAUCAUAGAAGGAGAGCCCAAUUCUAGGUAUCCAGGCGCAUUCACCAUGAGAGCAACUCCAUAUAGCUAUCCUCCUUGAGAGAGUUUUGGUUGAAGGCUCAUAGCAAGAUGUGCUCAACAGAACCAGGCCAUCACAGUGUGAGAUGCUUCCAAUUUCUUCUCCAAAGUCUUGGAUCCUUGAAUAUGUCGCAGUUUCUAGAUCAAGCUGCCAAACUUGAGAGCCCCUUAUGUGAAGAAACAGCCGCCUCUGACUAACUUGUAAGUGUUUGUAGAUAAACCUUGGGAGGGUAGAGAGACUCCUCCAGUCUUUGCAAGUCAAUUUGAAGCGAAAAAUUGACUUCACUGGAAGGCGUUGAAGAAUCAAUUCAAUAAGAUCCUGAGGAAUAUUCUUUUCUGACACAACCGAGUCUUCAUUUCCAAUCAAAUCACCGGAGCUGUCUUUGAGCAUAUCUCCUUUUGCCUUGAGAUCAUCAGCAGCUUGAGACUCUGAAGUAGCCAUUUUGCGUGAACUCUCAUCAGGCUUUUCUGACACAACCGACUCUUCAUUUCCAAUCAAAUCACCGGAGCUGUCUUUGAGCAUAUCUCCUUUUGCCUUAAGAUCAUCAGCAGCUUGAGACUCUGAAGUAACCAUUUUGCGUGAACUCUCAUCAGGCUUUGGUGGACUCAAGAUAUCUCCAGUUUCCAGAACAAUCUUACCAACCAUUUUCUUCUGCCAGUUAUACAAACCUGAUCAGCAACAACACACAAAAAAAACCAAGACUAAAGCUUAAUCAAAGACUACAGAACAACUCAUUUCUUGACAAUUAUACAAACUCAUGACCACAACCAUUUUCUUUUGCCAGUUAUACAAACCUGAUCAGCAACAACACAAAAAAAAAACCAAGACUGAAGCAAGAGCUUAAUCAAAGACUACAAAACAACUCAUUUCUUGACAAUUAUACAAACUCAUGACCACAACCAUUUUCUUUUGCCAAUUAUACAAAGAAACUUAAAGGUCCUUUAGAGAAAGAUCUAAUCACGAAGGCGGAAGAAGGACUACAAACAACUAUUUCUUACCAAUUAUACAAACCUCAUUAUAUCAAUAUAACACAAGAAAAGCAAGACGUGACCUUUCAUGGAGAUCUUUCUUUAAGGGAUACAUACCUCGACGGAAAAUCAAGAAUCAACAAGAAUCGCGCCGCGCCGUGGAAGUGGAAGUGGAUGUAGACGUGAAUCUGAUUUGAAACGAACUGAUUAGAUACAAUCAAGAAAACCAAGAAAUAGACUUUCAUGGCGAUCGUUCGCAAAACGGGGGAUAAUUCGUACAUACCUGCGCCGCGAAAUUGAACUUGAAACGGAGGGCGAAGGAGAGUGGCGAGGAGAAAAUCGCCGGGGAAAAUGAAGAAACCACGAACUCGAGUUAACCGUUGAAGGUGGAGUAGAGAAAAGUGAUGUUUCCGGCUUUCUUCGCUUAACGAUCAAGAGAACCAAUUUGGAGGCAAAGACUAUAUAUAGGGGAUGUGAAUCUUGCAUGUAGCGAAAAGAAAUUAAGAGUAUAACUGUAAUUAUUUUAUUUUAAUAUAAAUGGUCAUCAUCUUCUUGAUAUUAAAUGUGUUGAGAGUAUUUUUUUUUUAUGGGAUUUUCUCAAGUGUUUUCGUGUUAUUUAAUAAUUAUUUAUAUUUUUUUAAAAAUAUACUUUUUUAAAAAUAUUAUUUAAUAAUUAUUUAUAAUUUUAGUAGUUGAAAGAAAAACUACAUGAUUUAAAUUGUCAAAUUCUCAACUAACAGUAACAUCAUUUAUUAAUCAUCUAUAUUUUGGAACUCAAAAAAUAACUUUUUUUCCAUAAUCAUCCUGGUUUAAGAUUAGCAAAUAUAUAUACUUUGUCAACUUUUCAUUGGAAAUAUUAAAAAACAACAUUUUUGUAUAAAAUAGAGUAGCAUGUUUUAGUCAUAAAUUAACGAUGGUCAUCUUGUUGACCAACAUAAUACUGUAUCUAAUGAUUUUGCUUAUUUGCUCCUUUUUUUGCAGUUUGUAGAGUACAGUAAAAAAAAAAAGGGUACAAUAAUAUUCCUUUUCUAUAUAUGUAUGGAUCUAAAGAAGGUGAGGUGCACUUGAUUCCAAGAAUUUUAUAACAUUUAUACAUGGUUAAAGUUAAUUUCGGAUAAUUGAAUAGAAUACAUUCCGUUUAUUUGCACCCGAAAAAAUAAAGAAUUCGAUGCCUGAAGGCCCUGAACUUUAAAAAAUGAGAAAUUGUAUUGUAAAUGGCAACAAAAAAUAAAAAACUAUUUUUAAUACCGUAUUUUUUAUAAUUAGGCAAUAUUUAAAAACAAUUCUAAUAUCUUAUUAAUAUUUUUAUACAAACACUAUUUGUUACUUUCUUAAAUAAUUCCUUUAUUGAUUAUCAUCAAAAUCAAUCAUAAAAAAAUAAUAUCUGAUUUUUUUGAUCAAUAAUAUCUGAUUAGCCCUUCAUAACGGUUAUAAGAGAGCCGAUGGGACUCAGAACGAUGCCGUUUAGCUCUAUGUUAUUGAUAAACCAAACCGAAUUGGUACGAUCUAAACCAAACCGAGCAAGCCAAUUGAAAUUUCGGAUCGUAAUUUUUUAUUGGUUUAAUUGGGUUGUUGAGUCUUGGCCUUUUAUAAUCAUCGGACCAAAGUGCAUUUCUCUGAUGGGUAUAGAGGAAGAGAUGGUUGAGAUGUUGCAAAUAGGUUUGGCUUGUGGUAACUUGAAGCCACAAGAUCGACAUAAUUCAGCAGAUGUGUUUGUAAAGAUGAUACAAGACAUAAUGAGAAACAACAUAAAUAAACUUUCAAUUCUUAAUCAAAAGCAUUGAUCUGAACGAUAAUAUUGACAAAAGAGAAUAUCGGAUUGGAAGAUGAUGAUCAGGAGAAAAGCUCUCUGAUGAUCUUUUUUUUUUGAAAAGGAACUCUCUGAUUAUUUUGAUAGAGUCGUUGGAGAGAUGACAACCAAAGCCAAUAAGAAAUCAAUUAAAUCUGAUUCGGUGGGGAAGAUAUUGAAGGAGAAGCAGAAGACCCAUAAGGUUGAGGAGACAAGUCAAACGAGAACAUCUCCAAGAUUGUGUAAGCGUAGUUCUACUUAGUUUAAAAAAAAAUUACAUCGUCAAAGAUAUUUAGAUCUAAGGGUACAGUUCAUGAAAUGGAACUUAGUAUUUCGAUUGCUUAUAAAUCCACCUAUGUUGCAAUCCAUUAUUUCUAUAUAACGUUACUAACCGAAUGUGUUUAUAAACCUGUAACAAGAAAACUGUUGGCCCUGGAGCACCUUUUACGAAAGAGUCUCUUGCUGAAGCUAAGAUAAAAUUAGAAGCCUUGGACGAGAAAGAUAGGGAAAGAAGAAGAACGCCUGAGUUGAAAAACAACCUUGAAUAUUAUGUUUAUGCUACCAAAGAGAAGGAGCGACUUGACUCACUAAAAGCCAUUGGCAGUCCCAUAUCUUUGCGGUCAGAGGAGCUUACAGCACGACCAGUAGCAGUUGACUACACUCAGAAAUACCCAACCGAAGUGAAAGAGAUCAUAAAAGAGUGGGAGACGAACAAAACUUGGCUCCCGAAAGUAAAACUCGACGAGGUGUCAAAGGAAGCGGAGAAGGUAAAAAGCUGGUUGGAGUAGAAUGACGCUGAGCAGAAAAAGUGAGUGUGAGAGUGUGAAAGUGAAGGACAAAAAGCAAAAACCAGUUUUCCCUGGUCUUCUUCCGCAAAACCCAUCUCAUACCGUCCUUCGGAUCAACCUCCACGAGGGCAAGUCAUGACCAAGUAUGAUCCUGUUGAGAUAUCUCCUAGGGAUAUCGAGUGGAUUGCAGAGGAUCAUGGGGCAGGUAAUCCAUAUGGUUACAACGGACAGGCCAAUGUUCUGAGUAGAACUACAGGACCAAACAAUGUUCUACAAAAGGGAAGCAGUUUGGCUAAGACCUCUAUCAAAAACGAACUCAGACCAUCACAGAAUGGAACUGGGAAAAGGAACCAUGUCGAUAUACGAAUCAGUCGUCCGACCAGUGUCCUAAUCAGAGAGGUGGAGAGAGUUCGUGGUUCACACAAUCCAGAUCCUCAAGAAGUUGAAAUGGCAAAGAGAGUUUUGGAGGAGCAAGAACAUGCGCUUGUGGGUGCAAUAACAAAGCUUGGAGACAUAUCCAAAUGGAGAAAAUGGCAUGUGUUUAGUUUGCAGAGGAGCUUUGAUUAACAUAUUAUUUAUAUAUAAUAACAGAGUUUUAUCUGUGUGUGUGUGUUUUAAGUGUCAGUAAAGCCAAGCGGGGAUGAGCAAAUAGGAUUUUAUUCCUUUCUCAUCUUCUUCAUAUGGAUUUCGGCUUUCAGGCCUUACGUGGAUAAAACCAAAAAAAGUGUUUGUGGGAACAAUAUAACUUCAUUUUAAGCCAAAGACCUUAGCAAAUAUAUAUACUUUGUCAACUUUUCAUUGAAAUGUUAAAAACAACAUUUUUGUAUAAAAUAGAGUAGCAUGUUUUAGUCAUAAAUUAACGAUGGUCAUCUUGUUGACCAACAUAAUACUGUAUCUAAUGAUUUGCUUAUUUGCUCCUUUUUUUUUCAGUUUGUAGAGUACAGUAAAAAAAAAUGGGUACAAUAAUACUCCUUUUCUAUAUUUUUUUAUUAUUUUUUUUGUUCAACAUACUCCUUUUUUAUAUAUGUAUGGAUUUAAAGAAGGUGAGGUGCACUUGCUUCCAAGAAUUUUAUAACAUUUAUACAUGGUUAAAGUUAAUUUCGGAUAAUUGAAGAGAAUGCAUUCCUUUUAUUUGCACCCGAAAAAAUAAAGAAUUCGAUGUCUGAAGGCCCUGAACUUUGAAAAAUGAGAAAUUGCAUUGUAAAUGGCAACAAAAAAAAAACUAUUUCUAAUACUGUAUUUUUUUUUUAUAAUUAGGCAAUAUUUAAAAACAAUUCUAAUAUCUUAUUAAUAUUUUUAUACAAACACUAUCUGUUACUUUCUUAAAUAAUUCCUUUAUUGAUUAUCAUCAAAAUCACUCAUAAAAAAUAAUAUCUGAUUAGCCCUUCAUAACAAACGUGGUUGUGGUUCGGUUUUACCAUAUCGAACAAACCUAGGUUUACGGUUUGUGUAACAAGGACAAGGCUUCAAGAUGUUUACAUGUAAUUUUUUCGUGAGGUUAUAAGAGAGCCGAUGGGACUCAGAACGGUGCCGUUUUGCUCUAUGUUAUUGAUAAACGAAACCGAAUUGGUACGAUCUAAGCCAAACCGAGCAAGACAUUUGAAAUUUCGGAUCGUAAUUUUUGAUUGGUUUAAUUGGGUUGUUGAGUCUUGGCCUUUUAUAAUCGGACCAAAGUGCAUAUCUCUGAUGGGUAUAGAGGAAGAGAUGGUUGAGAUGUUGCAAAUAGGUUUGGCUUGUGGUGACUUGAAGCCACAAGAUCGACAUAAUUCAGAAGAUGUUUUGUAAAGAUGGUACAAGACAUAAUGAGAAACAACAUAAAUAAACUUUCAAUUCUUAAUCAAAAGCAUUGAUCUGAACGAUAAUAUUGACAAAAGAGAAUAUCGGAUUGGAAGAUGAUGAUCAGGAGAAUAUGGUAGUGGUUAUUAACCAAAAAAAAAUAACUUAUAGGUUUUCAUGCCUCGUUAUAAAAUAUAUAUAUAUUUACAUGUUUCUACUUAUGAUCGGUUUUGUUCGGUUUAUUCGGUUUAAUUGGUUAUAAACCAAACCAUAUCUAUAUCCUACGGUUUUUUUAUAAAAUCACAUUCAUUCGGUUUGUAUGGUAUAUACCAAAACCAAACCAUAUGUUAUUGAUAAACCUGUUCCAAAAAAAAAAAAAAAAAAAAAAAAAAAAUGUUAUUGAUAAACCAAACCGAAUUGGUACGAUCUAAACCAAACCGAGCAAGACAAUUGAAAUUUCGGAUCGUAAUUUUUCAUUGGUUUAAUUGGGUUGUUGAGUCUUGGCCUUUUAUAAUCGGACCACAGUGCAUUUCUCUGAUGGGUAUAGAGGAAGAGAUGGUUGAGAUGUUGCAAAUAGGUUUGGCUUGUGGUAACUUGAAGCCACAAGAUCGACAUAAUUCAGCAGAUGUGUUUGCAAAGAUGAUACAAGACAUAAUGAGAAACAACAUAAAUAAACUUUCAAUUCUUAAUCAAAAGCAUUACUGGUUCUUGCUAAAUGAACAUUAUCAUAAGCUAACUGAUUCCAUACAGACAAGAACCAUAGAGAAAGCAUUUGAAAACUUAGUUACUGAACAUAAAGAAGAUCUAACGAGAAGAUCGGAAAGGAUUGAUUGAUCUGGUUUUGACGAAGAUGAUGAUGAUGAA